RNAcentral lists this ribosomal RNA (253 nucleotides) under uncultured bacterium. RNAcentral describes it as "partial 16S ribosomal RNA". It matches the Rfam family "Bacterial small subunit ribosomal RNA", at positions 524 to 776 of the family's 1533-position model. The record is from RNAcentral.
UACGGGGGGAGCAAGCGUUGUUCGGAUUUACUGGGCGUAAAGGGCGCGUAGGCGGCGCGACAAGUCACUUGUGAAAUCUCUGGGCUCAACCCAGAACGGUCAAGUGAUACUGUCGUGCUAGAGUGCGGAAGGGGCAACUGGAAUUCUUGGUGUAGCGGUGAAAUGCGUAGAUAUCAAGAGGAACACCUGCGGCGAAGGCGGGUCUCUGGGCAGUAACUGACGCUGAGGAGCGAAAGCGUGGGGAGCGAACAGG